Paramecium tetraurelia is the source of this 85-nucleotide transfer RNA. It matches the Rfam family "tRNA". From Rfam's summary of the family: Transfer RNA (tRNA) molecules are approximately 80 nucleotides in length. Lineage: Eukaryota; Ciliophora; Oligohymenophorea; Peniculida; Parameciidae. The record is from Rfam.
CCGAAAAUAGCUCAGUUGGUAGAGCGAGGGACUGUAGUGUUAUCCAGUUAUCCCCAGGUCGGUGGUUCAAAUCCGCCUUUUCGGA